GAGGGMAAGYCUGGUGCCAGCAGCCGCGGUAAUUCCAGCUCCAGUAGCGUAUAUUAAAGUUGUUGCAGUUAAAAAGCUCGUAGUUGGAUUUGUGGUGUUUUUUUUUAUUUGCUUUUUUGGUCUCUUUUCAUCGUUUUUAACUUUGAAUCUGAGACUUGGAAGCGAGGACACCAUCCUUGACAGGUUUGAAAGUGAUAUUAUAUCACCGCAAACAUUGUCAUCCUUUACUUUGAAAAAAUUGGAGUGAUUCAAGCAGGCAAGAAUUAUAAUUUUAAUUUUAAUUUAACUUUGCUUCUGCACAUGUUAGCAUGGAAUAAUGCAAGAGGACUUGGGUUUUCUCUUUCAUUGGUUUCAGGAAUCCGAGUAAUGAUUGAUAGGGACAGUUGGGGGUGCUCGUACUCGACGGCCAGAGGUGAAAUUCUUGGAUUCGUUGAAGACGAACAACUGCGAAAGCAUUCACCAAGGAUGUCUUCUUUAAUCAAGAACGAAAGUUGGGGGAUCGAAGAUGAUCAGAUACCGUCGUAGUCCCAACCAUAAACGAUGCCGACCAGGGAUCAGCGAGCGUUGACUUGGCGUUCUCGUUAUUUUCUUUUUUGAGAAUUCGUAGAUUUUGCCAACCUCAUUAAUUUGAAACGACCUCGUUGGCACCUUGCGAGAAAUCACCAGUCUUUGGGCUCCGGGGGGAGUAUGGUCGCAAGGCUGAAACUUAAAGGAAUUGACGGAAGGGCACAACCAGCAGUGGAGCCUGCGGCUUAAAUUGACUCAACACGGGGAAACUUACCAGGUCCAGACAUCAUAAGGAUUGACAGAUUGAAGAUCUUUCUUGAUUUGAUGGUUGGUGGUGCAUGGCCGUUCUUAGUUGGUGGAGUGAUUUGUCUGGUUAAUUCCGUUAACGAACGAGACCUCAACCUGCCAAAUAGGUUGUUCCCUUGCUGUUCUUUAUGGCGAGGGUGGUUGCGGUAUUUGGUUUAUUCAUUUUGAUUAAAUUGGAUCCCAACUAUGACUGAUUCAUUUCUGUGAAUCAUGAUCAUACAACACUUCUUGGAGGGACUAUCAGUUCGCAUCUGAUGGAGGUUUGAGGCAAUAACAGGUCUGUGAUGCCCUUCGAUGUCCUGGGCUGCACGCGCGCUACACUGAUACAUGCAUCAAGCAGUUCAAUCAUACUGGACAUAAUUUUUAUGUUUAGUGACACCUUUGCUGAUAGGCAUGGGGAAUCUUUGAACUUGUAUCGUGAUGGGGAUAGAUGAUUGCAAUUAUUCAUCUUCAACGAGGAAUUCCUAGUAAACGCGGCUCAUCAAGCCGCAUUGAAUACGUCCCUGCCCUUUGUACACACCGCCCGUCGCUGCUACCGAUUGAAUGGUUCAGCAAGUUCCACAGACUGGCUCCUUUCCUUGCUUUUUACCAAGUUGGAUAGAUGAGCCGGGAAGUGGCGCAAACUUGACCAUUUAGAGGAAGCAAAAGUCGUAACAAGG
RNAcentral lists this ribosomal RNA (1472 nucleotides) under Reticulamoeba gemmipara. Its description in RNAcentral is "bacterial SSU rRNA". It matches the Rfam family "Eukaryotic small subunit ribosomal RNA", at positions 553 to 1819 of the family's 1831-position model. The record is from RNAcentral. Lineage: Eukaryota; Cercozoa.